RNAcentral lists this long non-coding RNA (888 nucleotides) under Elaeis guineensis (African oil palm). Its description in RNAcentral is "long non-coding RNA (EGUI_LNC005814)". Lineage: Eukaryota; Viridiplantae; Streptophyta; Magnoliopsida; Arecales; Arecaceae. The record is from RNAcentral.
GGUCCAAUCUUCUCACUACCCACUUCAGGAUCCUGUAAAUGGACAUCAAGUGCAUGAAUAAAGAAAAAGAACUGAAUUGAUCAACAUCAACCUUCCUCCAACGCAGGGUAGUUUCCUUUUCAUGCAGUCUUUUAUUGACCUUGCUAAUCAGCAGUUACCAAUCCAACUUCCCCAGAUUCCUAUUGCUCAAUGAAAGAGCCAGAUACAUAAAAGGUAAACUCCCCAAUCUACAACCAACUACACUGGCUAGGAACCAGCUUCCCCAGAUUCCUAUUGCUCAAUGAGAGAGCCAGAUACAUAAAAGGUAAACUCCCCAAUCUACAACCAACUACACUGGCUAGGAACCCAGCUUCACCAACCCCCAUGCUGGUGCAAACAUAGAGCUCUUCUAAAAAUUAACCCUCAAGCAAGCAACAAGCUCGAAGGUCAGCAGAACAAACAUAAUGAAUAAACUCAGUCAAAAUCUGAAGAAACUCAUUUCCAAGAAAAGUUGCAACUACACAUUAUGCUUACUGAAUCUCAGGUGUUCGAAAAAACAUAUGCAUAUCUAAAUAACUUAAAGCAGAAAUUACCAGUAUGAUGUCACUCUAAAUCCCAAAAGCCUCAAUUACCCUCUCCUGUUAAACAAAGAAUUUCAUUUAAAUCACAAGACAUAAAACAUACCUAAAAGAAACCCAAGAUAGAAGAGACGAAUGGAGAAUCUCCCCGCUAAUAGAUAGCUAGCCCCAAAAAAUAGCUGUGAAAUCCUGAUUGUUGCCAGACAUCUAAUCCAACUUCAAGUAGACACUGUUGUUUAAUACUUUAACUGAAUAAUACAUAAGUUUAAAUUGGUUCAAUCUAGCAGAUAUGGGUUAUUAGAAAACUCGCCUCUUGAGUUCACUACUGCAG